UACUAGAGUAGCACUCGCAUAUCAAUAAGCGGAGGAAAAGGAACUAACAAGGAUUCCCCUAGUAACGGCGAGUGAAGCGGGAAGAGCUCAAAUUUGAAGAUCUUAAAGGGUUUCCCUUUACGAAUUGUAGUUUAAAGGAAGUGUUUUCUGUUGAGGUUUUGGUAAAAGUUCUUUGGAAUAGGACAUCAUAGAGGGUGAGAAUCCCGUAUUUGACCUUUACUUUCAACUUUGUGAUACACUUUCAAAGAGUCGGAUUGUUUGGGAAUGCAGUCCAAAAUGGGUGGUAAAUUUCAUCUAAAGCUAAAUAUUGGCGAGAGACCGAUAGCGAACAAGUACCGUGAGGGAAAGAUGAAAAGAACUUUGAAAAGAGAGUUAAACAGUACGUGAAAUUGUCAAAAGGGAAGCGUUUGACACCAGUGUUGUUUUUCUGAAAAUCAAUUAAAGAACUGUUUAUGCUAAGCUGUUUAGACUUUAUCAGCUAUCUGUUUAGUUUUAGGCUUUUCUUUAAUGCACUUUUCAGUUAACAAGUCAACAUCAAUUUCUUUUGCUGUAAAAAAGCUUGAGGAAGGUGGCUUGAGAUUCGUCUUAAGUGUUUAUAGCCUCUUGCCUAUGCAGUCGGAGAGAUUGAGGUCUGCAGCGUAGAUCCUUCGGGGCUAAAUGCAUUUGUGCUAAGUUAUAGCAUUUUAUAGACAACUUGUUGACUAUGAUUUGUCUUGUAGCUUACUCGCUUAUGUUAUUUUACCUACGCUUAGGAUGUUGAGCGCAUGUCUCUCUCU
Molecule: ribosomal RNA, 776 nt
Filed under: uncultured Neocallimastigales
Lineage: Eukaryota; Fungi; Neocallimastigomycota; Neocallimastigomycetes; Neocallimastigales
Description: partial large subunit ribosomal RNA
Rfam family: Eukaryotic large subunit ribosomal RNA
Source: RNAcentral